AUGAGCAUUUUCUUAAUUGCAUGGUUAAUGAAGAAAAUGUGUGAAAUCAGCUCGUACAGUAAUUGUUCAAGUGAAAAAUAUGUGCAAAUAAAUAGUUGUAUAGUGAAAUUUUGCUGUGGCACAAAUUUGCAUAAUUUGAUAUUGUUCUCAAAACAAAAUCUAGGGCUGAAAAAGCAAAAAAAAAAAAUUGUUCCAUUGUAUUUGACGUGCUACAUUUGUAUAGGCUUCCAUCACAAGAUCACAGACGAUGUAGUGGGACUAUGGGGAUACUACCUACAUGUCUACAAGUACGUUUGAGAUGUGACUUAAAUGAUUAGUUUUAUUUUGUGUGACUUACCUUUAAAAGGGAAACAUUUCGAAAGCUGGAAAACAGGAUGGGAUACUGGAUAUAAUGUCCACCAUGGAAAUCUGAAAUAAAAUGCACAACAGUUAAUUCUAGAAUAGACUCGCCUCUCUCUGCGUGUUGUGUUUUUCAGAAAUGUUUGCAUGAAUCAAUAUUGCUCUGGAGGAACGCUGUUGAAAUAAAUCUCUAGAGUGAAAAGUUGCAGUAUUUAUUUUUCUGCCACUGGAGAAAAUACUUAUUGUAUGUAAACAGAGUUAAACACACUGGGCCCUAUUUCCCCCUCUGCCACCCCCACCACCCCCUCAGAAACACACUGGGCCCUAUUUCCCCCUCGGCCACACCCACCACCCCCCCAGAAACACACUGGGCCCUAUUUCCCCCUCUGCCACACCCACCACCACCCCCUCAGAAACACACUGGGCCCUAUUUCCCCCUCUGCCACACCCACCACCACCCCCUCAGAAACACACUGGGCCCUAUUUCCCCCUCUGCCACACCCACCACCCCCUCAGAAACACACUGGGCCCUAUUUCCCCCUCUGCCACACCCACCACCACCCCCUCAGAAACACACUGGGCCCUAUUUCCCCCUCUGCCACACCCACCACCCCCUCAGAAACACACUGGGCCCUAUUUCCCCCUCUGCCACCCCCACUACAAGGAAAACUUGUAGUGUAUUCAAGGUUUAAAAAGGUUUUUGAAGUUUGUAAUUUCCAUUUUGAAAUUUCAGACCUGAUUUUGUGUAUCAAUACUGACAAAAAUGUCCAUUAGUUAUAAUCCACAUUAUAA
Molecule: long non-coding RNA, 1131 nt
Filed under: Oncorhynchus kisutch (coho salmon)
Lineage: Eukaryota; Metazoa; Chordata; Actinopteri; Salmoniformes; Salmonidae
Description: lncRNA (ENSOKIG00005001879.1)
Source: RNAcentral